GAAAUGCGAUAAGUAGUGUGAAUUGCAGAAUUCAGUGAAUCAUCGAAUCUUUGAACGCACAUUGCGCCCUUUGGUAUUCCAAAGGGCAUGCCUGUUCGAGCGUCAUUUGUACCCUCAAGCUUUGCUUGGUGUUGGGCGUCUUGUCUCUAGCUUUGCUGGAGACUCGCCUUAAAGUAAUUGGCAGCCGGCCUACUGGUUUCGGAGCGCAGCACAAGUCGCACUCUCUAUCAGCAAAGGUCUAGCAUCCACUAAGCCUUUUUUUCAACUUUUGACCUCGGAUCAGGUAGGGAUACCCGCUGAACUUCAGC
Molecule: unclassified non-coding RNA, 308 nt
Filed under: plant metagenome
Description: partial contains 5.8S ribosomal RNA, internal transcribed spacer 2, and large subunit ribosomal RNA
Rfam family: 5.8S ribosomal RNA (bases 1-105)
Source: RNAcentral